GCAAUGCAAUAAUUUACUUGUAUCUUGUAUUUCAUGAAUAUUAAAAACACUCUAUUAUCUUUCUUCAUUUAAUUUAUAUUUUCAAUAAGGUUUUAGUGCUUGAAAAGCUAAGUUUCGAGUUUAAUUGCAUUAAAGAAAACUGAAUAGCAGUUCCAUAUUUGCAGAAAAAUGCUGAAAAUGUCUUGCCCCUUAAGAAUUCCAGUCGGAAGGCACCAGGUGCCCAUACGCUAAUCUAAGCCUGAAAAUAAAUUAGACUCUACAAAACAUUUUGGACUGUUUCAACAUUCGUUCAUUUGGCAACUGUUUCAACACAGCUCUUACCCAAAUACUUGAACAUCCUGCACAGAAAAAAAGACUAAGAGUAAGCCC
Long non-coding RNA from Uloborus diversus, 369 nucleotides. RefSeq lists it as uncharacterized. Lineage: Eukaryota; Metazoa; Arthropoda; Arachnida; Araneae; Uloboridae. The transcript has 3 exons. The record is from RefSeq and is a predicted model, not a curated record.